RNAcentral lists this unclassified non-coding RNA (417 nucleotides) under uncultured Umbelopsis. RNAcentral's name for it is "sequence contains ITS2". The stretch from base 1 to 154 matches the Rfam family "5.8S ribosomal RNA". The record is from RNAcentral. Lineage: Eukaryota; Fungi; Mucoromycota; Umbelopsidomycetes; Umbelopsidales; Umbelopsidaceae.
AACUUGUUGCAAUGUAUCACUUGGUUCUCGCAUCGAUUAAGAACGCAGCGAAAUGCGAUACGUAAUGUGAAUUGCAGAAUUCAGUGAAUCAUCGAAUCUUUGAACGCACAUUGCACUCCUUGGUAUUCCGAGGAGUAUGCCUGUUUCAGUAUCAUGAGCACUCUCACAACUAACCUUUGGGUGAAAUUGUGGAAUUGGAAUGCGCUGAUUUUAAUAACCAGCCCUUCUAAAAUAUAUUUCAUGACUGUCACCUAACACAGCAGUUUGGCCUAAUAGUUUUGACAUUAAUUUGUCAAAUCUUUGGCUUACAUUUGCUUCAGGUUGUCAGUUUUGAUAAUACAGAAAACUCAUUCAAAUUUUGAUCUGAAAUCAGGUAGGGCUACCCGCUGAACUUAAGCAUAUCAAUAAGCGGAGGCU